RNAcentral lists this transfer RNA (73 nucleotides) under Gemmata sp. SH-PL17. Its description in RNAcentral is "tRNA-OTHER". Lineage: Bacteria; Pseudomonadati; Planctomycetota; Planctomycetia; Gemmatales; Gemmataceae. The record is from RNAcentral.
UGGCGCGUGGUGUGUGGGGAGCACGCCGGGGGACUCGCCCCGGAGGAGCGGGUUCGACUCCCGCCGUGACAGC